UUCCUUACGUAGAGAAUACUAUGAUUGCCUCAGUAACGGCGAGUGAAGCGGCAAGAGCCCAAACUGGUAAUCUUCGCGCUGUGCGCGACGAAUUGUAAUCUACAGGUGGAGCCCUCAGUUGGURGCGACGCAGAAGUGGCCUAGAAUGGCCCGCCGGAGAGGGUGACAGCCCCGUAUGUGGUGUCGCUGCCUAUCGAGGGUCCUUCGAAGAGUCGGGUUGUUUUGAAAUGCAGCCCUAAGUGGGAGAUAGACUUCUUCUAAGGCUAAAUAUUUGCGGGAAACCGAUAGCGAACAAGUACUGUGAAGGAAAGAUGAAAAGAACUUUGAAAAGAGAGUCAAAAGACUUGAAAUCGUUGAGAAGGAAGCGGUAGAAAUUUAUUCUUCGGCCGUUACCUCAGCUUGGCGCUWAACUAUUGGGGCUCUGGGCACUUUAUCGGUCCUCUGUUCCACUUGGGGUCGCGCUGGGUGUGGUUGCGGUUGUGAGGCAAAAUGGGGUCGCGUUUCCGCAGAGGCUUGGUCUGCUUGGGCUGGUUCUCCAGUCAGCUUCCUUUGCCUGCGGGCGUGCGGCCUGAGGGGCUUUGUGCGAUUUUGCUUAAAUGGUUUUUACCGACCCGUCUCGAAACACGGACCAAGGAGUCUAACAUAUAUGCGAGUGUGCUGGUGGAGAAACCAGUGCGCGUAAUGAAAGUGAUUGAUGCCAAGCGCAAGCAGCAGCAUCGACCGACCAUGAUCCUCUGGUGAAAGGUUUGAGUAUGAGCAUAUCUGUUAGGACCCGAAAGAUGGUGAACUAUGCCUGGGUAGGGUGAAGCCAGGGGAAACUCUGGUGGAGGCUCGUAGCGGUUCUGACGUGCAAAUCGAUCGUCAAACUUGGGUAUAGGGGCGAAAGACUAAUCGAACCAUCUAGUAGCUGGUUCCCUCCGAAGUUUCCCUUAGGAUAGCUGGGACAAUUACGCAGUUUUAUCAGGUAAAGCGAAUGAUUAGAGGAAUCUGGGGUAAGUUGCUCUGGACCUAUUCUCAAACUUUAAAUUGGUAAGAACCUUGGCCUUUCUUAAUUGAGGCAUGAGGGAUCAAUGCGUGUCCCAUGUGGGCCAUUUUUGGUAAGCAGAACUGGCGAUGAGGGUUGCUCCUAACGUCGAGUUAAGGUGCCCAACUGCACGCUCAUCAGAAACUACAAAGGGUGUUGAUUCAUCCAGACAGCAGGACGGUGGCCAUGGAAGUCGGAACCCGCUAAGGAGUGUGUAACAACUCACCUGCCGAAUGGAUUAGCCCCGAAAAUCGAUGGCGCUGAAGCGUGCGACCAAUACUCGACCAUCGUAGCGAGAGUGAGGCUGCGAUGAGUAGGAGGGCGUGAGCGUUGUUGCGAAGCCUCUGGCGUGAGCCUUGGUUGAACAGCGUUUAGUGCAGAUCUUGGUGGUAGUAGCAAUUAUUCAAAUGAGAACUUUGAAGGCCGAAGUGGAGAAGGCUUCCGUGAGAACAGCAAUUGGUCACGGGUGACUCGAUCCUAAGACAUGGGGGAAAUCCUUGUUAAGUGUGCCAUCUGGCACGUAGUCGAAAGGGAAUGAGGUUAAUAUUCCUCAAGCUGGAUGUGGGUGUUGUAUGGUAACAUAAAUGAGCUCAGAGACGCCAGCGUGAGCCUCUGGAAGAGUUCUCUUUUCUUUUUAACAGACUAAUGACCUUGAAAUUGGAUUAUCCAGCGCUAAGGUGAUAUGUCUGGAAGAGCACCUUGCUUUCUGAGGUGUCAGGUGCGCUCACGAUGGUCCGUGAAAAUCUGAGUGAGAUUACUUCACACCAGGUCGUACCCAUAACCGCAUCAGGUCUCCAAGGUUA
This 1827-nucleotide ribosomal RNA is filed under the name Anteholosticha gracilis. RNAcentral's name for it is "LSU rRNA". It matches the Rfam family "Eukaryotic large subunit ribosomal RNA", at positions 42 to 1876 of the family's 3401-position model. The record is from RNAcentral. Lineage: Eukaryota; Ciliophora; Spirotrichea; Urostylida; Holostichidae.